GGGGAGGUUCCCGAGUGGUCAAAGGGGGCAGACUGUAAAUCUGUUGGCGACGCCUUCGAAGGUUCAAAUCCUUCUCUCCCCA
This 82-nucleotide transfer RNA is filed under the name Spirochaeta sp. RNAcentral describes it as "tRNA-Tyr". It matches the Rfam family "tRNA". From Rfam's summary of the family: Transfer RNA (tRNA) molecules are approximately 80 nucleotides in length. Lineage: Bacteria; Pseudomonadati; Spirochaetota; Spirochaetia; Spirochaetales; Spirochaetaceae. The record is from RNAcentral.